Molecule: ribosomal RNA, 703 nt
Filed under: Corynebacterium jeikeium
Lineage: Bacteria; Bacillati; Actinomycetota; Actinomycetes; Mycobacteriales; Corynebacteriaceae
Description: bacterial SSU rRNA
Rfam family: Bacterial small subunit ribosomal RNA
Source: RNAcentral
CGUGCUUAACACAUGCAAGUCGAACGGAAAGGCUCCUUGCUUGCAAGGGGUACUCGAGUGGCGAACGGGUGAGUAACACGUGGGUGAUCUGCCUUGCACUUCGGGAUAAGCCUGGGAAACUGGGUCUAAUACCGGAUAGGACCAUGCUUUAGUGUGUGUGGUGGAAAGUUUUUCGGGGCAAGAUGAGCCCGCGGCCUAUCAGCUUGKUGGUGGGGUAAUGGCCUACCAAGGCGACGACGGGUAGCCSGCCUGAGAGGGUGUACGGCCACAUUGGGACUGAGACAMGGCCCARACUCCUACGGGAGGCAGCAGKGGGGAAUAUUGCACAAUGGGCGCAAGCCUGAUGCAGCGACSCCSCGUGGGGGAUGACGGCCUUCGGGUUGUAAACUCCUUUCGCUAGGGAAGAAGCCACUUUGKGGUGACGGUACCUGGAUAAGAAGCAMCGGCUAACUACGUGCCAGCAGCCGCGGUAAUACGUAGGGUGCSAGCGUUGUCCGGAAUUACUGGGCGUAAAGAGCUCGUAGGUGGUUUGUCGCGUCGUCUGUGAAAUCCCGGGGCUUAACUUCGGGCGUGCAGGCGAUACGGGCAUAACUWGAGUGCUGUAGGGGAGACUGGAAUUCCUGGUGUAGCGGUGAAAUGCGCAGAUAUCAGGAGGAACACCGAUGGCGAAGGCAGGUCUCUGGGCAGUUACUGACGCUGAGGA